Molecule: transfer RNA, 71 nt
Organism: Neolecta irregularis DAH-3
Lineage: Eukaryota; Fungi; Ascomycota; Neolectomycetes; Neolectales; Neolectaceae
Rfam family: tRNA
About the family: Transfer RNA (tRNA) molecules are approximately 80 nucleotides in length.
Source: Rfam
CGCACUUUACCUUUAAGUUAAAGUGCGAACUUGAUAAGUUUGAAAUAUUGGUUCAAUUCCAUUAAAAACUA